UCGAUUAUAUUCAUAUAGUGGCAGAAAUAAUAUUCAAAUUGAAUAAUACGUUUCUUAAGAAAUCUUUCAAAGCUUUAAAAUUAUGAAGUCGUUAUAUUCUUCUCUUACUCUUAACGUAAUUAAUUCUCUAUUUAAUAAAGUCCGAGAUACACGCUUAACGAGGUCGGAGAGAUAUAACGCACCGGUAGAAACAUCCUUUGAAUGAUUUUAUUGAUAAGAAAUUAAGAAGAGAAUCUUUUUAUAAUGCAGAGGGUUUUACUCAUCAUGUAGCAAUCAAAAAUUAUACAUUAUGUCACGUAAAACCCGUAUAUGAUAUAUAACAUUUGUGAAAGUUCUUUUAUCAUAGCGUAAGAUCAGAGAGAACAAGAAUGAAUACAAAAGAUUGUUAUAUUUAUUCAAUAGGAACUAAUAGAAGACUGAAAUGACAAAGUUAUUUACAUGUUUGUUAUUUAUUAUCAUUCAUAAUUGAUUUGGAGUUUAAAAUUUUAAGGUAAAUUAAUAAAUCUGUAAUACUUAAAUAAUUAAGAUCUUUAAACAAUUAAGGAGACACGAAUAUUAUACAUUAUUAUUAUUUUAAUUGAUAAUUAUUAAUAAAUUAUGAUAGAUUAAUUAAAAUAAUUGAUAUUA
Vespula pensylvanica (western yellowjacket) is the source of this 627-nucleotide long non-coding RNA. RefSeq lists it as uncharacterized. NCBI's taxonomy places the organism in Eukaryota, Metazoa, Arthropoda, Insecta, Hymenoptera, Vespidae. The transcript is spliced from 3 exons. The record is from RefSeq and is a predicted model, not a curated record.